GAUGAACGCUGGCGGCGUGCCUAAUACAUGCAAGUCGAGCGAAAAGACGAGGAGCUUGCUCCUCUGACGUUAGCGGCGGACGGGUGAGUAACACGUGGAUAACCUACCUAUAAGACUGGGAUAACUUCGGGAAACCGGAGCUAAUACCGGAUAAUAUAUUGAACCGCAUGGUUCAAUAGUGAAAGACGGUUUUGCUGUCACUUAUAGAUGGAUCCGCGCCGCAUUAGCUAGUUGGUAAGGUAACGGCUUACCAAGGCGACGAUGCGUAGCCGACCUGAGAGGGUGAUCGGCCACACUGGAACUGAGACACGGUCCAGACUCCUACGGGAGGCAGCAGUAGGGAAUCUUCCGCAAUGGGCGAAAGCCUGACGGAGCAACGCCGCGUGAGUGAUGAAGGUCUUCGGAUCGUAAAACUCUGUUAUUAGGGAAGAACAAAUGUGUAAGUAACUAUGCACGUCUUGACGGUACCUAAUCAGAAAGCCACGGCUAACUACGUG
RNAcentral lists this ribosomal RNA (497 nucleotides) under uncultured bacterium. RNAcentral describes it as "partial 16S ribosomal RNA". It matches the Rfam family "Bacterial small subunit ribosomal RNA", at positions 28 to 507 of the family's 1533-position model. The record is from RNAcentral.